RNAcentral lists this ribosomal RNA (39 nucleotides) under Basidiobolus ranarum. Its description in RNAcentral is "partial 18S ribosomal RNA". RNAcentral also lists the same sequence under 1 other name. The record is from RNAcentral. Lineage: Eukaryota; Fungi; Basidiobolomycota; Basidiobolomycetes; Basidiobolales; Basidiobolaceae.
CAAGGUUUCCGUAGGUGAACCUGCGGAAGGAUCAUUAAC